UACGAAGGGGGCUAGCGUUGUUCGGAAUCACUGGGCGUAAAGCGCACGCAGGCGGAUCGUUAAGUCAGGGGUGAAAUGCCGAGGCUCAACCUCGGAACUGCCUUUGAUACUGGCGAUCUUAGAGUCCGGGAGAGGUGAGUGGAACUCCGAGUGUAGAGGUGAAAUUCGUAGAUAUUCGGAAGAACACCAGUGGCGAAGGCGGCUCACUGGCCCGGUACUGACGCUCAGGUGCGAAAGCGUGGGGAGCAAACAGGG
Molecule: ribosomal RNA, 255 nt
Filed under: uncultured bacterium
Lineage: Bacteria
Description: partial 16S ribosomal RNA
Rfam family: Bacterial small subunit ribosomal RNA
Source: RNAcentral